AUUAACAGUGUAAAUAGCCCCAGUGGCUGCGUUGCAGCCAGGCAGCAGCACUCCACUGCUCUCCAGUUAUUGCAGGAAUUGUCAUAAAGCUUCUAGAAAAAGUAGGCGAGUGGAAAAGAGGAAGCAUAUAUUUUAUCCAGAGCAGAAGGAAGGGGUUUGGGCUUGCUUGUGAGAGUUAACUUCAGAGUUGCUGACUUUGGCCACAGCAGUGAUUCAGAUUUUCCCAGAAACUUCCAAUGAUGAAAUUUGAUUAGAAUUGAAAUAUUUCACCUGCUUUGUAGAGCAGGUCAAAAUUUUAAUUGAAACUUCUGAAGCUACAUCCACUGGCUUCCAGCAGAACAGACUCUCCUCUGCACAGAACUGCACGGAUGCUGUGGGGCAUUAGCAGCGUAGUGGUGAGAGGUCCCCCAGAGCCGUUGCCUUAUAGCACUGAAGUGUCAGUGGUUGCAUGGUGGUUUGGAAGGAAAUGAACAAUUCCCACAUUUUCAAACUUAAAGUUGUCUAGAAAACCUGUACAAUACAUUGAUUGCUUCACUUUUUAUUCUCGAUCUAAAAUAUCAAAAUAUUGGCAUUCUUGUAGAACUGAAGAUGAAAUUUUGCUUAGCUCAGGCAGAGGGGAAUAGAAGUCAUACUUUAAACUCUCUGCAAGAGGGCUCAUUACUUGUAGAUAUUGCUUCCCGUUCAGUUUGCAGAAGGAAAUGCUUGAAAAACUUGGCAUCAUUAUCACACCUUCAUAUUUCCUCUUGUAUUCUCUGUCUUGGUGUUUGAGCAUCACUGACUUGUCUACCUUCCUUUUUUCUGGUUUCUGUAGCUGUGAUUGCAGAAAGCCCCAGGCGAUACAUUGCUAACAGCAAGAAUGCUUUUAAGAAUGCUCCAGGACUAGUCAGGUACCCCAUGUAGCAUGUAUGCAUGUUAUCCCUCCUCAGACUUGCUGUUGCUUAUUCUGCUGGUGCUUAUGGUGGAGAGUUUCACUCCUGAUAGCCUUUUUGUGCAAUCUAACACUCCAUCUUUGAGCUCCCCUUGUCCUUAUCCAACAGGGAGCCCUGUUAGCAUUAUAGGAAUCAAGCAUUUCUGGAGAAAGUAAGAAAACCCCUGACAAUAUAAAGGAGAUCUAACAGAAGAAAUAAAUUGAGGUAGUGGGGGAAAGAGGAGAAGAAGCGUGAAGACGAAUCAUAAAGGCAGAAGAAGAAAGAGGAUCAAACAGAAGGGGAGAUGAAAAGCAAGAGCAAAACUGUAGGGGAGACAUAAAGGGGAACAUUGCAAUAGCAACACCAAAAAGCUUAUAGACUGAAAAAAAAAAAAAAAAAAAAAAAAAAAAAAAAGUAU
This is a long non-coding RNA of Lagopus muta (rock ptarmigan), 1326 nucleotides long. RefSeq lists it as uncharacterized. The record is from RefSeq and is a predicted model, not a curated record. The transcript has 3 exons. NCBI's taxonomy places the organism in Eukaryota, Metazoa, Chordata, Aves, Galliformes, Phasianidae.